UUGACAGCACUGCAUAUUGAAGUCUUCUGUUUAUUCACAGAACAGGUACAGUCGGGGCAGCAAUACUGCUGGCUUCUUAGAGCAAGCCUGCCUAUAGGCCUUGCCCUCAAUACAAACCUGAAGGGCCAGCUUCCAAGGGUAAGAAGUAAUGUAUAUGCCAUGGCCUUUUUCCGCAUUUAAAGUAA
Unclassified non-coding RNA from Chelonoidis abingdonii (Abingdon island giant tortoise), 185 nucleotides. NCBI's taxonomy places the organism in Eukaryota, Metazoa, Chordata, Testudines, Testudinidae. The record is from Ensembl.